UGGAAUGCGCUUAGAUUAAAAGCUACGGCGUCUAAGGAUGAGUCUGCGGACUAUCAGGUAGUAGUCAGGGUAAAGACCUGACUAGCCUACNACGGAUACGGGUUGUGAGAGCAAUAACCCGGAGAUGAUAUCUGAGACACGAUAUCAGGCCCUACGGGGCGCAGCAGGCGCGAAAACUUCACAAUGCGCGAAAGCGCGAUGAGGGGAUCCCAAGUGCUUGCACGUAAGUGUAAGCUGUUUUUCUGUUUAAAAAGCAGAGAGAGUAAGGGCUGGGUAAGACGGGUGCCAGCCGCCGCGGUAAUACCUGCAGCUCAAGUGGUGGCCGCUAUUAUUGGGCCUAAAACGUCCGUAGCCGGCUGAGUAAAUGCCUGGGUAAAUCGUGUGGCUUAACCAUACGAAUUCCGGGUAGACUAUUCAGCUUGGGACCGGAAGAAGUUAGAGGUACUCCUGGGGUAGGGGUGAAAUCCUGUAAUCCUGGGGGGACCACCAGUGGCGAAGGCGUCUAACUAGGACGGGUCUGACGGUGAGGGACGAAGCCCUGGGGCGCAAACCGGAUUAGAUACCCGGGUAGUCCAGGGUGUAAACGCUGCUUGCUUGAUGUUAGCUGGGCUCCGAGCUCGGCUAGUGUC
RNAcentral lists this ribosomal RNA (629 nucleotides) under uncultured euryarchaeote. Its description in RNAcentral is "bacterial SSU rRNA". It matches the Rfam family "Archaeal small subunit ribosomal RNA", at positions 171 to 802 of the family's 1478-position model. Lineage: Archaea; Methanobacteriati; Methanobacteriota. The record is from RNAcentral.